This 366-nucleotide ribosomal RNA is filed under the name uncultured eukaryote. Its description in RNAcentral is "partial 18S ribosomal RNA". It matches the Rfam family "Eukaryotic small subunit ribosomal RNA", at positions 592 to 976 of the family's 1831-position model. The record is from RNAcentral.
CAAUAGCGUAUAUUAACGUUGUUGCAGUUAAAAAGCUCGUAGUUGGAUUUCUGGAGGGAGCGUCGGCCCGUAUUUACGAGUGCGUGACGUCUCUGUCCAUCCUUGCGGGAAGGCACGGGAUUGAUUUGUUGUGUCGGAUCGCAUCAUUUACUGUGAAAAAAUUAGAGUGUUCAAAGCAGGCUUUCGCUUGAAUACAUUAGCAUGGAAUAAUAAGAUAGGACUUUGGUGCUAUUUUGUUGGUUGAGCCUAAAGUAAUGAUUAAUAGGGAUAGUUGGGGGCACCUGUAUUGCGUUGUCAGAGGUGAAAUUCUUGGAUUUACGCAAGACAAACAGCUGCGAAAGCGUCUGCCAAGGAUGUUUNCAUUAA